Molecule: ribosomal RNA, 54 nt
Filed under: Fusarium solani
Lineage: Eukaryota; Fungi; Ascomycota; Sordariomycetes; Hypocreales; Nectriaceae
Description: partial 28S ribosomal RNA
Source: RNAcentral
CCUCAAAUCCGGUAGGAAUAACCCCUGAACUUAAGCAUAUCAAUAAGCGGAGGA